GAUGAACGCUGGCGGCGUGCCUAAUACAUGCAAGUCGAACGGGGAGUAGCAAUACUCUUAGUGGCGAACGGGUGAGUAACGCGUUGGUACCUGCCCCGAAGCGGGGGAUAACGGACCGAAAGGUCCGCUAAUACCCCAUGUGCUCGGUAACGAGUAAAGGUGAAAACCACUUUGGGAGGGGCCUGCGUCCCAUCAGCUAGUUGGUAAGGUAACGGCUUACCAAGGCGAUGACGGGUAGGGGACCUGAGAGGGUGGCCCCCCACAAUGGAACUGAAACACGGUCCAUACACUUACGGGUGGCAGCAGUAGGGAAUAUUGGCAAGGGGCGCAAGCCUGAAACAGCAACGCCGCGUGUGCGAUGACGGCCUUCGGGUUGUAAAGCACUUUUGACUGGGACGAGGAAGGACGGUACCGGUCGAAUCAGCCUCGGCUAACUACGUG
RNAcentral lists this ribosomal RNA (441 nucleotides) under uncultured bacterium. RNAcentral's name for it is "partial 16S ribosomal RNA". It matches the Rfam family "Bacterial small subunit ribosomal RNA", at positions 28 to 507 of the family's 1533-position model. The record is from RNAcentral.